Molecule: ribosomal RNA, 484 nt
Filed under: uncultured bacterium
Lineage: Bacteria
Description: partial 16S ribosomal RNA
Rfam family: Bacterial small subunit ribosomal RNA
Source: RNAcentral
AUUGAACGCUGGCGGCAGGCCUAACACAUGCAAGUCGAGCGGAUGAAGGGAGCUUGCUCCUGGAUUCAGCGGCGGACGGGUGAGUAAUGCCUAGGAAUCUGCCUGGUAGUGGGGGAUAACGUCCGGAAACGGGCGCUAAUACCGCAUACGUCCUGAGGGAGAAAGUGGGGGAUCUUCGGACCUCACGCUAUCAGAUGAGCAUAGGUCGGAUUAGCUAGUUGGUGGGGUAAAGGCCUACCAAGGCGACGAUCCGUAACUGGUCUGAGAGGAUGACCAGUCAGACUGGAACUGAGACACGGUCCAGACUCCUACGGGAGGCAGCAGUGGGGAAUAUUGGACGAUGGGCGAAAGCCUGAUCCAGCCAUGCCGCGUGUGUGAAGAAGGUCUUCGGAUUGUAAAGCACUUUAAGUUGGGAGGAAGGGAAGUAAGUUAAUACCUUGCUGUUUUGACGUUACCAACAGAAUAAGCACCGGCUAACUUCGUG